This 467-nucleotide ribosomal RNA is filed under the name uncultured bacterium. Its description in RNAcentral is "partial 16S ribosomal RNA". It matches the Rfam family "Bacterial small subunit ribosomal RNA", at positions 28 to 506 of the family's 1533-position model. The record is from RNAcentral.
GACGAACGCUGGCGGCGUGCUUAACACAUGCAAGUCGAACGGAAAGGCCCUGCUUUUGUGGGGUGCUCGAGUGGCGAACGGGUGAGUAACACGUGAGUAACCUGCCCUUGACUUUGGGAUAACUUCAGGAAACUGGGGCUAAUACCGGAUAGGAGCUCCUGCUGCAUGGUGGGGGUUGGAAAGUUUCGGCGGUUGGGGAUGGACUCGCGGCUUAUCAGCUUGUUGGUGGGGUAGUGGCUUACCAAGGCUUUGACGGGUAGCCGGCCUGAGAGGGUGACCGGCCACAUUGGGACUGAGAUACGGCCCAGACUCUUACGGGAGGCAGCAGUGGGGAAUAUUGCACAAUGGGCGGAAGCCUGAUGCAGCAACGCCGCGUGCGGGAUGACGGCCUUCGGGUUGUAAACCGCUUUCGCCUGUGACGAAGCGUGAGUGACGGGAAUGGGUAAAGAAGCACCGGCUAACUACGU